Molecule: ribosomal RNA, 433 nt
Filed under: uncultured Lachnospiraceae bacterium
Lineage: Bacteria; Bacillati; Bacillota; Clostridia; Lachnospirales; Lachnospiraceae
Description: partial 16S ribosomal RNA
Rfam family: Bacterial small subunit ribosomal RNA
Source: RNAcentral
ACGGAGGCAGCAGUGGGGAAUAUUGCACAAUGGGGGAAACCCUGAUGCAGCGACGCCGCGUGAGUGAAGAAGUUAUUCGUAAUGUAAAGCUCUAUCAGCAGGGAAGAAAAUGACGGUACCUGACUAAGAAGCCCCGGCUAACUACGUGCCAGCAGCCGCGGUAAUACGUAGGGGGCAAGCGUUAUCCGGAUUUACUGGGUGUAAAGGGAGCGCAGACGGCUUUGCAAGUCUGAUGUGAAAGGCAGGGGCUCAACUCCUGGACUGCAUUGGAAACUGUAGGGCUAGAGUGUCGGAGAGGUAAGCGGAAUUCCUAGUGUAGCGGUGAAAUGCGUAGAUAUUAGGAGGAACACCAGUGGCGAAGGCGGCUUACUGGACGAUAACUGACGUUGAGGCUCGAAAGCGUGGGGAGCAAACAGGAUUAGAUACCCUGGUA